CCCGCUGAGGAGCGCUGCGACCGGGAACGCCCGGCCAGGCUCAGCAAAAUCAAACGGCGCUCGCAUCGG
This 69-nucleotide non-coding RNA is filed under the name Betaproteobacteria bacterium. RNAcentral describes it as "SAH sequence". It matches the Rfam family "SAH (S-adenosyl-L-homocysteine) riboswitch aptamer". Lineage: Bacteria; Pseudomonadati; Pseudomonadota; Betaproteobacteria. The record is from RNAcentral.